CCAUCGAAGGAUCAAAAAAUUCU
RNAcentral lists this small RNA (23 nucleotides) under Arabidopsis thaliana (thale cress). Its description in RNAcentral is "ATSL122600". The record is from RNAcentral. Lineage: Eukaryota; Viridiplantae; Streptophyta; Magnoliopsida; Brassicales; Brassicaceae.